Molecule: long non-coding RNA, 1088 nt
Organism: Acinonyx jubatus (cheetah)
Lineage: Eukaryota; Metazoa; Chordata; Mammalia; Carnivora; Felidae
Exons: 3
Source: RefSeq, a predicted model, not a curated record
AUGAACCGUGUCUGACCGGUGGUGCCGUGAAAGGCCGCGGCCUCGAGGACUAGUUCCCGCGUAUCAGGAAACACGUGUGACACAGGCGGCGUCGGCUGGACUCCCUGGGUGGUCGGGUUUCUUCUUGAAAGUUCCUCGAUUGCCUAGAAUACGCAUCUCAUUGGGGCCUCUUAUUCACACGAUAAAAGUGGUUGGUUUCCUCCACUAUGUUUGUGGACAACAUUUCUGGGCUGGAAGAUUCUGUUUUCCAUUCUAUUUCUCCAGCACAUUCCACCCGGAACCUUCCAGAAGUCAGCUGGCUGGCAUUCCUGCUCCGUACUACACCGCGGCACACAUGCCUCUGCCUGUUUGUGUUUACGGGCAAGGAGCCCGAGGGAGGGGGGAUGGCGUAUAGACUGAAGGAGUCACAACGGCUUUGACAGUAAGAGGCAUGGGUGCCAAGGCCCUGGGGCAUCCUGACUCGCCUCAGCAGGGCUACCUUCGGAGGAUGAAACGUUCCUCCUCCAAGCAGCACAGGGCAGUCCCUAGGUCAGGGACAACACAGGCCUGCAUCUCUCCGCGGUUGGUCUACAAGCAAGACUGAGUUGAACGCUACCAUUCCCAGCCUCCUUCCAACUGGUCCUGGCACAAGUGUGACGAGAUCUUAUCGAGGAGCUGGUUCUUCAUGAUCACCCCUGACCCAUCUUUGUGAAGCCCUCUCCCCACCUUCCCAUCUCCCCCAUGACUGUGAUCUGGGAGAAGAGGGUUUCAGCCUUUGUCCGCAGAGACUUCUUGUCUCCACUCAGAAAUGCCGCCUCAAGGACCCAGGAGCUGAAUCUCUGAAAAGUAAUCCUGGAGAAAGAUCCGCCUCACCUCCCCGGUCUCGGUCUCGGUCUCGGGGAGACAUGGGCCUGACUCGUCCCCGGGCUCCAGGCGGCCAAUGCGACCCGACAGGAGUGGCCCCAUCUGUGGCUACACAGAGGAGAGAUUUCUGUCUUCGCAGGGGGGCUGAACGUUUAUUCAAUAAUAAAAUGAAUUUCUGUCUCUUCUGCCUCUGUGAUGAGGUUGUCUCGGUUGGGAGGAGAGUUUGCUUUUCAUUGUAUUUCCCC